Phragmites australis (common reed) is the source of this 139-nucleotide small nucleolar RNA. RefSeq annotates it as small nucleolar RNA Z247. NCBI's taxonomy places the organism in Eukaryota, Viridiplantae, Streptophyta, Magnoliopsida, Poales, Poaceae. The transcript has a single exon. The record is from RefSeq and is a predicted model, not a curated record.
CCACUUGAUGAUGAGGACAUGGUGUCUUACAUACUCACCAGUCUCGAUGCUGAUUUUGAACCGGUGGUAUCUACGUUGGUGGCUAGGGUGGAGCCGGUCACAGUGGCCGAGCUUUACUCGCAGCUGCUCGGGUUUGAAG